AAAGGCAAAUUUGUAAUUUUAUUUUAGACAGAUGCCAAUUUUUUUACCUGAUAAGUUGCUGAGCAAGUUGUCAUCUUCUAAUCAGAACUCACCAAACUCCGACACGACUCGACUGUUCAGAGAACUGAAAACCCUCUCUCUCAAUCAAUCAUCUCACCAUGAUGCAGUGGCCAGUUCAUAUUUGGUCAAAGAACGGUUGAUGAGAUACAUGUUUCACAAAACUUGUUGCUAAUUCAGUUAACCAAUUGGUGGUCAUUUGGAUCAUUGAUGGCGGAACUCUUGGGACCAAGGUUGUACAGUUGUUGUAAUUGUCGAAACAAUGUUGCCCUUCACGAUGAUGUCAUUUCUAAAGCUUUUCAGGGAAGACAUGGUCGUGCAUUUUUGUUCUCCCAUGCAAUGAAUAUUGUUGUGGGGCCCAAAGAGGACAGGCAUCUCAUGACUGGUCUCCACACAGUUGGUGAUGUUUACUGCUGUGACUGCCGCGAAGUGCUGGGUUGGAAGUAUGAACGAGCUUAUGAGGAAUCACAGAAGUACAAGGAAGGGAAGUUCAUACUAGAGAAGUCAAAAAUCGUCAAGGAAAACUGGUAGUCCACCAAAAUAUCCCUGGUUCAUCUGGCCUUAUGUUGGUAAAAGUAAUCUCAUCAGUGUUACAUUUCUCUAUUGUGGAUUUAGAUUCAAGAAUGUUUGUGUUUGUGGUGCUCUUCAUCGCACGUGUACUUUCAGUUAUAGCAUCCCAAUAUUACAAGCGUAAUAUAUAGCAUGCUAAUAUUACCAGUCAUGGGGAUGUACUUCUCAUCAAGCAGUUGGAACAUAGCAACUGUACUCCCUCACAAUUUCUGCUGCUUCUACUUGAAUUGCAUAUGUACCCGCAAGUGCUUAGUUGUUGGUUGAUUUUGUUCAUGGUUGGUUCGACACGCCUUAGUAAAAUUGAGUGCUCUGAUUUAAGAUCUUGUCUAGAUAAAGCAUCUGUACAGCUGAUUUGCUCUUGUUCUGCUCUUCUUGUCCAUGUGUGUGCGCGCGCGCGCGCCGAGAUAGGUGGUUCUCGGCAUGCAUCCAAUAAUUUUAUGUUGUAUGACUACUGUGGACACGGGAUGUACGAUAAUCAAAGACUUUGAGAUAAAAUAUGGUGGGUUGAUGUUAGAAAAGCGCUCAUAAUUGGAAAUCUCGGGAAGAAUUCAAGAGUGUUACUACUGUACAGCAACAAAUGUGCCAGAUAGAAUUGAAAUGCUUGAUGUUUUAAUCCGCAUGAUUGCUUGCUUUUGACAACCCAACUGAGGUGGAUGGAUGUCGCUAUAAGAUUAGUAAACAAUCUGAAUGAUGCCCUCUGGAUAUGAAGUCAUAUUGUUAGCGACCAGUGUGAAUUUACCGGAUUGGUAAACAAAACCAAAUGGGA
This is an RNA transcript of Cornus florida, 1393 nucleotides long. It is a transcript of the gene named protein yippee-like At4g27745, with no coding region annotated. The transcript is spliced from 6 exons. The record is from RefSeq and is a predicted model, not a curated record. Lineage: Eukaryota; Viridiplantae; Streptophyta; Magnoliopsida; Cornales; Cornaceae.